RNAcentral lists this transfer RNA (73 nucleotides) under Dreissena polymorpha. Its description in RNAcentral is "transfer RNA arginine (anticodon UCU)". It matches the Rfam family "tRNA". From Rfam's summary of the family: Transfer RNA (tRNA) molecules are approximately 80 nucleotides in length. Their secondary structure includes four short double-helical elements and three loops (D, anti-codon, and T loops). The record is from Rfam by way of RNAcentral. Lineage: Eukaryota; Metazoa; Mollusca; Bivalvia; Myida; Dreissenidae.
GUCCCCGCAGUGCAGUGGAGAGCGCGCUGGACUUCUAAUCCAGAGGUCGCGGGUUCGAAUUCCACCGGGGAUG